This is a long non-coding RNA of Solea senegalensis (Senegalese sole), 345 nucleotides long. RefSeq lists it as uncharacterized. NCBI's taxonomy places the organism in Eukaryota, Metazoa, Chordata, Actinopteri, Pleuronectiformes, Soleidae. The transcript is spliced from 3 exons. The record is from RefSeq and is a predicted model, not a curated record.
CACCAGCCAAACACAGCUGGACCAUUAAAGAUACCCUCAGCCCCUUACAGUCUCUAGUUAGAAAGAUGAUGAAAACUCACACACCACCAGCAAAAUCCCCCAUCAUGCUGGACAACGCACCCUCCUACUCCCACGACCCAGUUGGAAUGGCUUCAGGCUUCAGCCAGGCUGCAGGAGCGUUCCAUCAGGGCAACACAUUCUCAGAAGGAUACAAGGUACACAACCUUUUCUAGAAACCAUCAGUGCACAUGUAAUGCUUUAACCUUCCUGGCAUUCCAAAAUGAAGACGCGCACUUCAGCACACCUGACCUCGACAAAGUGCUUGAACAGGUAGAUUCACUUUAU